GAUGAACGCUGGCGGCGUGCCUAAUACAUGCAAGUCGAGCGAACAGACGAGGAGCUUGCUCCUCUGACGUUAGCAGCGGACGGGUGAGUAACACGUGGAUAACCUACCUAUAAGACUGGGAUAACUUCGGGAAACCGGAGCUAAUACCGGAUAAUAUAUUGAACCGCAUGGUUCAAUAGUGAAAGACGGUUUUGCUGUCACUUAUAGAUGGAUCCGCGCCGCAUUAGCUAGUUGGUAAGGUAACGGCUUACCAAGGCAACGAUGCGUAGCCGACCUGAGAGGGUGAUCGGCCACACUGGAACAGAGACACGGCCCAGACUCCUACGGGAGGCAGCAGUAGGGAAUCUUCCGCAAUGGGCGAAAGCCGGACGGAGCAACGCCGCGUGAGCGAUGAAGGUCUUCGGAUCGGAAAACGCUGUUAGUAGGGAAGAACAAAUGUGUAAGUAGCUAUGCACGUCUUGACGGUACCUGAUCAGAAAGCCACGGCUAACUACGUG
Molecule: ribosomal RNA, 497 nt
Filed under: uncultured bacterium
Lineage: Bacteria
Description: partial 16S ribosomal RNA
Rfam family: Bacterial small subunit ribosomal RNA
Source: RNAcentral